Non-coding RNA from Haemonchus contortus (barber pole worm), 75 nucleotides. The record is from Rfam. NCBI's taxonomy places the organism in Eukaryota, Metazoa, Nematoda, Chromadorea, Rhabditida, Trichostrongylidae.
GGCGCAAACUUGAAGUGGAGUACAUUGGUAUGGUCUGAUGAUCGUACUAAUGGACUCUACUUCAAAUUUGGGCCC